GAUGAAGAACGCAGUGAAAUGCGAUAAGUAGUGUGAAUUACAGAAUUCAGUGAAUCAUCGAAUCUUUGAACGCACAUUGCGCCCCUUGGUAUUCCAUGGGGCAUGCCUGUUCGAGCGUCAUUUGUACCCUCCAGCCCUGCUGGGUAUUGGGCGUUUUGUUCCGCUACGCGCGUGAACUCGCCUCAAAUGCAUUGGCAGCCCGCCGUCCCGUGUGGGAGCGCAGCACAUUUUGCGCUCUCCGCUGCUGACGGUGGCAUCCACAAGUCUACCAUUUUACGCUUGACCUCGGAUCAGGUAGGGAUACCCGCUGAACUUAAGCAUAUCAAUAAGCGGAGGA
Molecule: unclassified non-coding RNA, 337 nt
Filed under: soil metagenome
Description: partial contains 5.8S ribosomal RNA, internal transcribed spacer 2, and large subunit ribosomal RNA
Rfam family: 5.8S ribosomal RNA (bases 1-120)
Source: RNAcentral